Molecule: ribosomal RNA, 254 nt
Filed under: uncultured bacterium
Lineage: Bacteria
Description: partial 16S ribosomal RNA
Rfam family: Bacterial small subunit ribosomal RNA
Source: RNAcentral
UACAGAGGGUGCAAGCGUUAAUCGGAUUUACUGGGCGUAAAGGGCGCGUAGGUUGUUGCGUAAGUGAGAUGUGAAAUCCCCGGGCUUAACUGGGACGUGCAUCUUAGACUGCGUAACUUGGAGUGUAGUAGAGGGUAGUGGAAUUUCCGGUGUAGCGGUGAAAUGCGUAGAUAGUCGGAAGGAACACCAGUGGCGAAGGCGGCUACCUGGGCUAACACUGACACUGAGGCGCGAGAGCGUGGGGAGCAAACAGG